GCCCUAGUAGCUUAAGCUAAAGCAUUGGUCUUGUAAACCAAAAAUGAGAAAUCUUCUCCAAGGACA
RNAcentral lists this transfer RNA (66 nucleotides) under Takydromus septentrionalis. RNAcentral's name for it is "tRNA-Thr". It matches the Rfam family "tRNA". Rfam says of the family: Transfer RNA (tRNA) molecules are approximately 80 nucleotides in length. Lineage: Eukaryota; Metazoa; Chordata; Lepidosauria; Squamata; Lacertidae. The record is from RNAcentral.